RNAcentral lists this long non-coding RNA (2849 nucleotides) under Triticum aestivum (bread wheat). Its description in RNAcentral is "long non-coding RNA (TAES_LNC005954)". The record is from RNAcentral. Lineage: Eukaryota; Viridiplantae; Streptophyta; Magnoliopsida; Poales; Poaceae.
UGGGUGAGAUGAUGCACAAGGAGGUUGCCGCCGGUCAGAGGAGGAGGGCGAGAAGGCUGGAGAGCCGAGGCAGAGGCUUACAGGGAAGAGAAGAAACGACACCUUAUACAUACAGGAUACCCGCUCCCAGGUGCCAGGAGGACAGCCGGGGCUGACGGAGGUGUGGCUUUCUAAAAACUAAACCUUUCCUCUGUAAUGCAUAGCUUCUCUGUAGAACAUCCAAUUGUUCUUGGGUAGUAUGACUGUGGAUAACAUCAUCAUUUUGGUCAAACUAAAAUUUACAGAGGGAGGCCUAGGGGAUAACGUUAGGUUAAGUAAGGUUGGUUUUGUAUCUUCUGUAUUUUGUUGAAAAUGAAGUGCUUCCACCAACAUGAAUAUUCCACGAAAAUCAGACUUCAUAUUUGGUAAAACAUGAAGGUCUAGUCUGUAUAGAUAUCCUCAGUAGAUCAAGGAUAUAAAUUAUUAUCUGCAUUUAUCUCGUGUAUUUUGAUGGAUGGUUGUGGCUGAACCAGCAAAUGCUCAUUGAGAUUUAGAUUACAGGAUAAGAGUGUCGAGGAAGUUAACACAUGAAGUAAUCAUAUAAUUCUACCAUGACUUAGUGCUGCACAUAUGUUGAGGUAGUUACGCAGACAUCUGUUCUACCAAGGUUCUUACUUAUACACACUUGUACAUUCUGUUGUUAUAGUUGAUUGAAAUGCUCUAACUGAUGGUUUGCCAUAUGGCCAUGGAUAGUAUAUAGUUUGGUUUCGACACUCCCAAAUAAUAAAUGGUUCAUUUGUUUGUUUUUGUGUUUCAUAGAAAGGAUUAAAUAAUUAGAACCCAAAAGUGAGUUUCAGGAUUUGUAAUGAAAUCCUAUUUGCCGCCUUAUGUCGAGGCAGCCAUGACGCUCUCUGUUGCAAAUAUACCACAACUAAUUUUACAACUCACCCAGUCGUUAUUCCUUAUGAGCUGAUUUAUAUAACUCAGGAUAUAAUGUCCAAGAUUUCUUACCAAUGUACAUUCUAGAUUCUGUGAGGUUAGAAGGUACUUAUAAGAAUAUAGCUGAACUCCAGAUUAUCUUCCUUUUGAUCAACGCUUCUACUAGAGUUCAUUAACUAUGUCAGAUGUCUGUUGGUGUUGGCAUCACAUAGUCCCUGUCAUGAGCAUGCCCUGUUCUCUGAAGUUUACCAAAACAACAAAUAUUUAGUUGAACAUUGACAGCGUUUCUUGUUUUUUCUAUUUAAGGAGUUCGAAAAAUUACAGGGUUUUUAAGUUUUAUCUAUGCUUUGUUGGAAGGUAUGCUCGGAUCACUUAUAGAGAUCUGGAGAGGAAAGUUUGUUCCUUCCUUACAAGAGCCAUAUAAACAAUAAGGAAAAGCUCUUUCCUAGCAUAAGGUGAAUCUUGUAUAGUUUAAUUUGGGUAUAUUUUCUUAUAAAUGUGUAUUGUUGCAUACAUAAAUUGUCUCAGUUAGACGAACAAUUUUUUAUUUAGCGGUGACAUACUUGGGACACCAAGAAUAGGAUUGCGGCGGGGUUGGCCAAAGGACUGCACUACUUGCACUUUUUGUACAGCCCAGGAUACCAUAUUGCAACCUAAGGCCAUUGGUAAUUCACUUAAAUAUAUAUAUUCUCAUUUUUCAGACUUCAGUCAUCAAUUUAGUUAAAUCUGUUAGCUUACUGAUUGCUGCAUAACUACCAUUUCUCAAAUUUACAAUGCGGUUUCUGUGUUGAUUUCAAAAUGGUGAGAUAUAAUUAGUUAUUCACAUUUUAGCAGGGACAAAUCUUGAUUCUUAAAUGCAGGCUAACUGUCAAUUAAUCUUUUAUGUAUAAUACCAACAUGUGUCGUGAUAAUAUAAGAAUGCAACAUUGUAGUGCCAUAUAAUCUAUCAUUUUUUUGGAACCACAAGCAUGCAGCAUGUACUGCCAAAACAAUAUUUAUCAUAUGUUGUCAGAGAGAUCUAGCUCAAUAUGGGUUCAGAAGGAAAUUGUCAAAGAUGAAGUGGUACACGUCUACAAUUAUAGUAAAUUCUCUUUAGGGAUUUUAUUACCAAGAAGCACUUGAGUGGUUUGCUCCAUGGUAUAACUAACGAGCAUUUACUUGGCUUCCUUCGUUAGUUCCUUCGUUAGUGUUUAUUUGGCAACGGGCAAAAGCCAAGGCGCCGCCGGCGAUGCGCUAUCGUUCAGGUGCAUCAUCAAGGCCCAUCUUGGCGUGAGCAUGAGGUUGCGCGCUGAAUAUCAUCUCUGUCGGCUGCACCUUAUCGAUAGGACGGAAGAUGAGAUGUGUGGACCACCGUUUAUUGGUUGGAGAGAAAUUUUUGUGGGGAGGUGAGACGAUGUAUAUGGGCUAGGAAAGUGCGUCGUCUGUUUCAGAAGCGGAAGAGCAAACAAUUUCGGGCUAGACGGCUGGCGUUGAGUCUUGACUGUUAGGCUUACGGAACUGCUGGAUGAGAGUACAGUAGAGGCAAGCAUAGCCCCGCAAACAAAUAGGAAAAAUAAAAUAAUUGAUGAUGGAGUUUAUAGGUCAGGCCCGAGGAGGUGGGCUUGAGUGGGACUGCAUGAGAUAUGACGUGGCUCGAUGUGAUUAGAUGCUGAGGUGUCUAUGCUACAUGUUGAGAUAAAUCAAGUAGUGGGGGUGAACUUCUUAAAUAUAUAGGAUUUGGCAACGCAUGGGUAUUACACCCAAUGUAGUGCCAUAAAUCUCAUCGUAUCAUAUAACCCUCAUCAUCUAAUAUUGUAUAUAUUCAUAUAUUGAUGCAUCAAGGGGCUGCUAAUUGUUGCGAAGUGACAUCUGCAUUGCCAACAGAGCAAAUAAAGUUAGUGCGAAGAAGACACGCGUCAGGGAGGAAGUAGGGCAUGCACAAUGGAAUGGGG